UACAGAGGUCUCGAGCGUUUGUUCGGAUUCAUUGGGCGUAAAGGGUGCGUAGGUGGCGUGGUAAGUCUGGUGUGAAAUCCCGGGGCUCAACCCCGGAACUGCACUGGAUACUGCCAUGCUUGAGUACUGGAGAGGAGAUUGGAAUUUACGGUGUAGCAGUGAAAUGCGUAGAUAUCGUAAGGAAGACCAGUGGCGAAGGCGAAUCUCUGGACAGUUACUGACACUGAGGCACGAAGGCCAGGGGAGCAAACGGG
This 254-nucleotide ribosomal RNA is filed under the name uncultured bacterium. Its description in RNAcentral is "partial 16S ribosomal RNA". It matches the Rfam family "Bacterial small subunit ribosomal RNA", at positions 524 to 776 of the family's 1533-position model. The record is from RNAcentral.